UUUUAUGAUGAUAAACCUAUAACAACAACAACAUGAAUUUCUUCAUCCGAAACUAUAGGUGGAUACAAUUUUGACAUAGCUUUUUAACCCUGAUC
Molecule: small nucleolar RNA, 95 nt
Filed under: Henningerozyma blattae CBS 6284
Lineage: Eukaryota; Fungi; Ascomycota; Saccharomycetes; Saccharomycetales; Saccharomycetaceae
Source: RNAcentral